RNAcentral lists this ribosomal RNA (429 nucleotides) under bacterium. Its description in RNAcentral is "partial 16S ribosomal RNA". It matches the Rfam family "Bacterial small subunit ribosomal RNA", at positions 355 to 776 of the family's 1533-position model. The record is from RNAcentral.
UAGGGAAUCUUCCACAAUGGACGCAAGUCUGAUGGAGCAACGCCGCGUGAGUGAAGAAGGUUUUCGGAUCGUAAAGCUCUGUUGUUGGUGAAAAAGGAUAGAGGUAGUAACUGGCCUUUAUUUGACGGUAAUCAACCAGAAAGUCACGGCUAACUACGUGCCAGCAGCCGCGGUAAUACGUAGGUGGCAAGCGUUGUCCGGAUUUAUUGGGCGUAAAGCGAGCGCAGGCGGAAGAAUAAGUCUGAUGUGAAAGCCCUCGGCUUAACCGAGGAACUGCAUCGGAAACUGUUUUUCUUGAGUGCAGAAGAGGAGAGUGGAAUUCCAUGUGUAGCGGUGGAAUGCGUAGAUAUAUGGAAGAACACCAGUGGCGAAGGCGACUCUCUGGUCUGCAACUGACGCUGAGGCUCGAAAGCAUGGGUAGCGAACAGG